CUAAGAAUAUUCCGCAAUGGAGGAAACUCUGACGGAGCGACGCCGCGUGGAUGAUGAAGGUCGGAAGAUUGUAAAAAUCCUUUUAUGACUGAGGAAUAAGCUGGGUGAGAGAAACGCCUGGUGGUGACUGUAGGUCAUGAAUAAGCAACGGCUAAUUACGUGCCAGCAGCCGCGGUAACACGUAAGUUGCGAGCGUUGUUCGGAAUUAUUGGGCGUAAAGGGCAUGUAGGCGGUAUUGCAAGCCUGGUGUGAAAGGCAGGGGCUCAACCUCUGGACUGCGCUGGGAACUGCGAUACUAGAGUCGCUGAGGGGC
Molecule: ribosomal RNA, 313 nt
Filed under: uncultured Treponema sp.
Lineage: Bacteria; Pseudomonadati; Spirochaetota; Spirochaetia; Treponematales; Treponemataceae
Description: bacterial SSU rRNA
Rfam family: Bacterial small subunit ribosomal RNA
Source: RNAcentral